This is a long non-coding RNA of Mauremys mutica (yellowpond turtle), 604 nucleotides long. RefSeq lists it as uncharacterized. The record is from RefSeq and is a predicted model, not a curated record. NCBI's taxonomy places the organism in Eukaryota, Metazoa, Chordata, Testudines, Geoemydidae. The transcript has 2 exons.
CAGAGACCACGUGGCACCAGGAGAGAAAGAGCCAGCAUCUCAGAGAGCCUUCGCAGUCAGAGACGGACGCGAGCCCACAGGGCCAGGCGGCUGACCGGCACUGAAGAGUCACGCCGCCGAGUGGAAGAGGAAUGCAGACGUGAUGGGAACUCCCGUGGGUUGGAAUGAACCUGCCAGGAGAUGUCAGCAAGACGACGCAUUCAGCAGAUGUGCAAGAGACCAGGGCAGAGGCGGUCGUAGCUGGGCUGAGGUCUACCCACCACGGGCAGGAGUCAAUGGGCAGGAGUUGGAGGAAUCGCAAGAGCCAGGCUCCAUAAGCCAGAGCCCAGAAAUCUGACAUUGCAACAAGCCAACAUCUGUAUGGCUGCUCAGACAAUGCCAACCCCUGGGGUUAAAUAGGGAGCUUGGCCAAUCGGAGGGCCACAAGGUACAGUCGCUCUGGGUCUCUUGAGCGGGACAUCCUGCAGUGCCUACUCUCCAUAAUGUUCCCUGGCUAUGCCUCUGCAUGGUCUCCCAAUGGCACCGUGGGACUCUUGGCUGUCCUAGACUCAGCAGACCUGGGUUCUAGUCCUGGGGUCCUUUAACAGUGAGCAUUUCAAGGUGG